GCCUUCGUGGUGUUAUUGGAAGCACACUCGACUUGCGUUCGAGAUGUACAGGGUUUGAGUCCUAGCAGGAGCA
Molecule: transfer RNA, 73 nt
Filed under: Stegodyphus mimosarum
Lineage: Eukaryota; Metazoa; Arthropoda; Arachnida; Araneae; Eresidae
Rfam family: tRNA
About the family: Transfer RNA (tRNA) molecules are approximately 80 nucleotides in length.
Source: Rfam by way of RNAcentral